CCUACGGGGCGCAGCAGUAGGGAAUUUUGCGCAAUGGGCGAAAGCCUGACGCAGCAACACCGCGUGAAUGUUAAGCCCUUCGGGGUGUAAAGUUCUGUCAAUAGGGACGAAUUUUGACUGUACCUAUAAAGGAAGCACCGGCUAACUCCGUGCCAGCAGCCGCGGUAAUACGGGGGGUGCAAGCGUUGUCCGGAAUCAUUGGGCGUAAAGCGUUCGUAGGCGGCAAGGUAAGUCUGAUGUUAAAGCCCGGGGCUCAACUCCGGUUCGGCAUUGGAUACUAUCUAGCUAGAAUGUGGUAGAGGUAA
RNAcentral lists this ribosomal RNA (305 nucleotides) under uncultured bacterium. RNAcentral's name for it is "bacterial SSU rRNA". It matches the Rfam family "Bacterial small subunit ribosomal RNA", at positions 338 to 660 of the family's 1533-position model. The record is from RNAcentral.